CUGAGGUAGGGUACUGGCAACAGUGCUCUGCUGAAAUAUUUUCACCCAUGUCUUUUGCGCACUUUUUGUUUCCUGGGCGAGUUUGCUCGCCACCAGGACCCCCAUAUGAACCUUUUUUGUUUUUGCACUCAGCGUCAGUACAAUAAUUUAAUCUAUUAAAACUUUCAACAACGGAUCUCUUGGUUCUGGCAUCGAUGAAGAACGCAGCGAAAUGCGAUACGUAGUGUGAAUUGCAGAAUUCAGUGAAUCAUCGAAUCUUUGAACGCACAUUGCGCCCUUUGGUAUUCCAAAGGGCAUGCCUGUUCGAGCGUCAUUUGUACCCUCAAGCUUUGCUUGGUGUUGGGCGUCUUAUUGUCUCUCCGUCUCGGGGAGACUCGCCUUAAAACAAUUGGCAGCCGGCCUACUGGUUUCGGAGCGCAGCACAAAUUUGCGCUUGCAAUCAGCCAAGGGCGGCAUCCAUGAAGCCUUUUUUCUCUCACAUUUUGACCUCGGAUCAGGUAGGGAUACCCGCUGAACUUAAGCAUAUCAAUAGACCGGGAGGAAAUCGUCUUCUUCGAGGUGU
RNAcentral lists this ribosomal RNA (562 nucleotides) under Exserohilum turcicum. Its description in RNAcentral is "eukaryotic LSU rRNA". The stretch from base 160 to 313 matches the Rfam family "5.8S ribosomal RNA". Lineage: Eukaryota; Fungi; Ascomycota; Dothideomycetes; Pleosporales; Pleosporaceae. The record is from RNAcentral.